This 734-nucleotide ribosomal RNA is filed under the name uncultured endophytic bacterium. RNAcentral's name for it is "bacterial SSU rRNA". It matches the Rfam family "Bacterial small subunit ribosomal RNA", at positions 771 to 1504 of the family's 1533-position model. The record is from RNAcentral.
AACAGGAUUAGAUACCCUGGUAGUCCACGCCGUAAACGUUGGGCACUAGGUGUGGGGCCUUAUCAACGGGUUCCGUGCCGUAGCUAACGCAUUAAGUGCCCCGCCUGGGGAGUACGGCCGCAAGGCUAAAACUCAAAGGAAUCGACGGGGGCCCGCACAAGCGGCGGAGCAUGUGGCUUAAUUCGAGGCAACGCGAAGAACCUUACCUGGGUUGAACUACGCAGGAAAAGCCGUAGAGAUACGGUGUCCGAAAGGGCCUGCGAUAGGUGGUGCAUGGCUGUCGUCAGCUCGUGUCGUGAGAUGUUGGGUUAAGUCCCGCAACGAGCGCAACCCUUGUCCUAUGUUGCCAGCGGGUAAUGCCGGGGACUCGUAGGAGACUGCCGGGGUCAACUCGGAGGAAGGUGGGGAUGACGUCAAGUCAUCAUGCCCCUUACGUCCAGGGCUGCACACAUGCUACAAUGGCCGAUACAAAGGGCUGCUAUCCCGCGAGGGUGAGCGAAUCCCAAAAAGUCGGUCUCAGUUCGGAUCGCAGUCUGCAACUCGACUGCGUGAAGUCGGAGUCGCUAGUAAUCCCGGAUCAGCAACGCCGGGGUGAAUACGUUCCCGGGCCUUGUACACACCGCCCGUCACACCACGAAAGUCGGUAACACCCGAAGCCAGUGGCCCAACCGCAAGGAGGGAGCUGUCGAACGUGGGAUCGGUGAUUGGGGUGAAGUCGUAACAAGGUAACCGUA